Molecule: ribosomal RNA, 253 nt
Filed under: uncultured bacterium
Lineage: Bacteria
Description: partial 16S ribosomal RNA
Rfam family: Bacterial small subunit ribosomal RNA
Source: RNAcentral
UACAGAGGGGGCGAGCGUUGUUCGGAAUUACUGGGCGUAAAGGGCGCGUAGGCGGCCACCUCAGUCGGACGUGAAAUCCCCGGGCUCAACCCGGGAACUGCGUCCGAUACUGGGUGGCUAGAGUCCGGGAGAGGGAAGUGGAAUUCCAGGUGUAGCGGUGAAAUGCGUAGAUAUCUGGAGGAACACCGGUGGCGAAGGCGGCUUCCUGGACCGGAACUGACGCUGAGGCGCGAAAGCCAGGGGAGCAAACGGG